RNAcentral lists this ribosomal RNA (761 nucleotides) under Prevotella melaninogenica. RNAcentral describes it as "bacterial SSU rRNA". It matches the Rfam family "Bacterial small subunit ribosomal RNA", at positions 28 to 776 of the family's 1533-position model. Lineage: Bacteria; Pseudomonadati; Bacteroidota; Bacteroidia; Bacteroidales; Prevotellaceae. The record is from RNAcentral.
GAUGAACGCUAGCUACAGGCUUAACACAUGCAAGUCGAGGGGAAACGGCAUUUAGUGCUUGCACCGAAUGGACGUCGACCGGCGCACGGGUGAGUAACGCGUAUCCAACCUUCCCAUUACUUUGGAAUAACCUGCCGAAAGGUAGACUAAUACCUUAUGUAAUCCUUUGAUGGCAUCAGAUAAGGAUAAAAGAUUUAUCGGUUAUGGAUGGGGAUGCGUCUGAUUAGCUUGUUGGCGGGGUAACGGCCCACCAAGGCAACGAUCAGUAGGGGUUCUGAGAGGAAGGUCCCCCACAUUGGAACUGAGACACGGUCCAAACUCCUACGGGAGGCAGCAGUGAGGAAUAUUGGUCAAUGGACGAAAGUCUGAACCAGCCAAGUAGCGUGCAGGAUGACGGCCCUAUGGGUUGUAAACUGCUUUUGUAUGGGGAUAAAGUCAAUCACGUGUGAUUGUUUGCAGGUACCAUACGAAUAAGGACCGGCUAAUUCCGUGCCAGCAGCCGCGGUAAUACGGAAGGUUCGGGCGUUAUCCGGAUUUAUUGGGUUUAAAGGGAGCGUAGGCCGGAGAUUAAGUGUGUUGUGAAAUGUAGACGCUCAACGUCUGACUUGCAGCGCAUACUGGUUUCCUUGAGUACGCACAACGUUGGCGGAAUUCGUCGUGUAGCGGUGAAAUGCUUAGAUAUGACGAAGAACUCCGAUUGCGAAGGCAGCUGACGGGAGCGCAACUGACGCUGAAGCUCGAAGGUGCGGGUAUCGAACAGG